GUGCUAAGGUAGCAAAAUAAUUUGUUUUUUGAUUGGAAACUGGAAUGAAAGAUUAAACAAAAAAUUAUUUUUUAUAAAAAUUUUUUAAAAUUUUUAUUUUGUGUUAAAAUACAUAAAUGAAUAAGAGGGACGAUAAGACCCUAAAAGCUUUAUUAUGGUAUAUUUUUUAUUAUUUUAAAUUAUAAAAUUAAAAAUAAUUUAACUGGGGUAGUUGUUUUUUUAACAAAUAUUUUUUGUAACAUUUUGUAAUAAAGGGCCUUUAUAUUAGGAUAAUUGGUUGAAGUUACUUUAGGGAUAACAGCGUAAUAAUAAUGGAAAGAUCUUAUUUAUAUUAUUGUUUUCGACCUCGAUGUUGAAUUAAAUUUCUUUAUAAAGCAGAAAUUAUUUUUGAAAGUUUGUUCAACUUUUAAAAAUUUACAUGAUC
This 424-nucleotide ribosomal RNA is filed under the name Waematau kohuroa. RNAcentral describes it as "partial 16S ribosomal RNA". Lineage: Eukaryota; Metazoa; Arthropoda; Malacostraca; Amphipoda; Makawidae. The record is from RNAcentral.